This 613-nucleotide ribosomal RNA is filed under the name uncultured Bacteroidota bacterium. RNAcentral's name for it is "bacterial SSU rRNA". It matches the Rfam family "Bacterial small subunit ribosomal RNA", at positions 367 to 975 of the family's 1533-position model. Lineage: Bacteria; Pseudomonadati; Bacteroidota. The record is from RNAcentral.
GACAUGGAGGCAACUCUGAUCCAGCCAUGCCGCGUGCAGGAAGACUGCCCUAUGGGUUGUAAACUGCUUUUAUACAGGAAGAAACACCUCUACGUGUAGAGGCUUGACGGUACUGUAAGAAUAAGGAUCGGCUAACUCCGUGCCAGCAGCCGCGGUAAUACGGAGGAUCCAAGCGUUAUCCGGAAUCACUGGGUUUAAAGGGUCCGUAGGCGGUCUUUUAAGUCAGAGGUGAAAUCCUACAGCUCAACUGUAGAAUUGCCUUUGAUACUGAAAGACUUGAGUUAUUGUGAAGUAGUUAGAAUGUGUGGUGUAGCGGUGAAAUGCAUAGAGAUCACACAGAAUACCGAUUGCGAAGGCAGAUUACUAACAAUAUACUGACGCUGAGGGACGAAAGCGUGGGUAGCGAACAGGAUUAGAUACCCUGGUAGUCCACGCCGUAAACGAUGGAUACUAGCUGUUCGAUCAACAUUGGUUGGUUGAGUGGCUAAGCGAAAGUGAUAAGUAUCCCACCUGGGGAGUACGGUCGCAAGACUGAAACUCAAAGGAAUUGACGGGGGCCCGCACAAGCGGUGGAGCAUGUGGUUUAAUUCGAUGAUACGCGAGGAACCUUACC